ACUCCAAUUCACGGCGAAUGCCGGGUAAGGACUACAUCCUGUCACGAUGCAGACGCGGGUUCAAAUCCCGCCGGGUCCACCA
RNAcentral lists this transfer RNA (82 nucleotides) under Sphingobium sp. JAI105. Its description in RNAcentral is "tRNA-Asp". The record is from RNAcentral. Lineage: Bacteria; Pseudomonadati; Pseudomonadota; Alphaproteobacteria; Sphingomonadales; Sphingobiaceae.